UGAAAUGCUCGCUAAUCAGGAACAACCUCAUC
Molecule: non-coding RNA, 32 nt
Filed under: Rattus norvegicus (Norway rat)
Lineage: Eukaryota; Metazoa; Chordata; Mammalia; Rodentia; Muridae
Source: RNAcentral